Molecule: ribosomal RNA, 509 nt
Filed under: uncultured bacterium
Lineage: Bacteria
Description: bacterial SSU rRNA
Rfam family: Bacterial small subunit ribosomal RNA
Source: RNAcentral
GUUCAUGGCUCAGGAUGAACGCUAGCUACAGGCUAACACAUGCAAGUCGAGGGGCAGCAUGGGAUAGCUGCUAUCCAGAUGGCGACCGGCGCACGGGUGAGUAACGCGUAUCCAACCUUCCCUAUAGUAGAGAAUAGCCCGGCGAAAGUCGGAUUAAUGCUCUAUGUUGUGUUUUGAGGACAUCUGACGAACACCAAAGGUUCACCGCUAUAGGAUGGGGAUGCGUCUGAUUAGCUUGUUGGCGGGGUAACGGCCCACCAAGGCGACGAUCAGUAGGGUUCUGAGAGGAAGGUCCCCCACAUUGGUACUGAGACACGGACCAAACUCCUACGGGAGGCAGCAGUGAGGAAUAUUGGUCAAUGGGCGAGAGCCUGAACCAGCCAAGUAGCGUGCAGGACGACUGCCCUAUGGGUUGUAAACUGCUUUUAUCAGGGAAUAAAGUGAGGUACGUGUGCCUUUUUGUAUGUACCCUAUGAAUAAGGACCGGCUAAUUCCGUGCCAGCCGCCGC